RNAcentral lists this ribosomal RNA (253 nucleotides) under uncultured bacterium. RNAcentral's name for it is "partial 16S ribosomal RNA". It matches the Rfam family "Bacterial small subunit ribosomal RNA", at positions 524 to 776 of the family's 1533-position model. The record is from RNAcentral.
UACGUAGGAGGCGAGCGUUGUCCGGAAUUACUGGGCGUAAAGCGCGCGUAGGCGGUUUUUCGCGUAGGCGGUAAAAGCCCCCGGCUUACCCGGGGGAGGUCCGUCUAAACGGGGAAACUGGAGGGCGGUAGGGGCUGGCGGAACGCCCGGAGUAGCGGUGAAAUGCGUUGAGAUCGGGCAGAACACCAGUGGCGAAGGCGGCCGGCUGGGCCGACCCUGACGCUGAGGCGCGAAAGCCAGGGGAGCGAACGGA